Long non-coding RNA from Quercus robur (English oak), 2269 nucleotides. RefSeq lists it as uncharacterized. The record is from RefSeq and is a predicted model, not a curated record. The transcript has 3 exons. Lineage: Eukaryota; Viridiplantae; Streptophyta; Magnoliopsida; Fagales; Fagaceae.
UCUUUUAAGUCAUCCACUCUGUUUUCUCUGCUUGGUGCCUUCGCUCCUAGUAAGUCUUCUCUGUUUUCUCUUUGUAUUCUUGCAUUUUGAUGGUAGUCUACUCUUGUGUUAGGCUUUCCCGCCCCUCUGUUUCUUUUUUUUUUCUUUGUUUGUGCUAUCUUCUCUCUUCUAUGGGUAGAGCCCAUCCACAAGUUGGUGUUUUUAUUAGGGGGGAUUAUUCUUAUCGAUCCAUUCUUCUUUCACUUUAUCCCUUAGUCCAUUGUUCUGUAGGGAUCACCCAAAUUAUGGAUAUUUUGGCUUUAGAUGAAGCUGUCCGUUCAAGUGACCUUAAGACCGAUUUAUCUUCUAGGGAUGAAUUUGUGGUUCAAGAGGUUGCUUUGUCAUCUCAACCUUUUAAGGCUUUUGAGAUAAUUAGUAGUCUUAAGGGAAAAGACGUGGUUAGGAUUUAGGAGAAAUUUCAAUUUCCCUCGUCUGUUAACCUUAGAAUACCUUCAAGGAUGAAUAGGGCGUUCUCUAUAAUCCUGACAAGAUUUGCUUAUAUGAGGCAAACUUUGCUAGUGGGUUGUGCUUUCCCGUCCAUCAGUUCAUCAAAGAGUGGUUGUUUUGUUUAAACAUUGCCCCUACCCAACUUGUCCCUAAUUCGUGGAGGAUAGUCAUAUGCUACAUGGUCUUGUGGCUCUUGGCUAACGAUGGUGAUAUCAUUAGAGUCAAUGAGUUUCUUUAUUUAUAUCAUUUGAUACUGUCCACACAUUCUAGUUACUGGGAGUUCAAGCCUUAGGAUGCAAAGUCUAGGUUGGUCUUUGAUUUUCCCUCUUCUCUCCAUGAAUGGAAGAAGAGAUUUUUCUUUAUCUCUGGUGAUGGUUGGGAGGCCACCCCAAAUGAAGAGUUGAAUGAUGCUUCUAGAUUGAUUCGUCAAUAGGGGGUGCCUAUGUCUGGUGCGUUUUCUUCUUCUUCUUCUUCUUUUAUGUAUUUUUAUUUUUUAUUUAUUUAUUUACCAGACUUAAAAUCAUCUUGUGUAUAUUGGGAGCCACUACAUGACCCCAUUUGAAGAAGUGGUAUUUAUGGGUGCCUGGAGAAGGUUAGGGAAUUUGUUGAUAGCGUGACUGAUUUUGACGAGCUGAUUUCUCCUAAUUCUCUUCAUCUGCACUUCCUCGAUCCUAAGAUCGUCUACACACAUGUUGAAACAUAUAAAGAUGAAUAAGAAGACAAGAAAGAGCUGGCUAAGAUGAAAGAGAAGAAGGACAAGUUUGUUCUUCAAGAGGAGGGAUUGCUUUCAAAGAGGCGUCAUCUUGUUGAGAAGAAGGAUGAGGUCGCUAAGAAGCUCGAGACGGUAUUGCCACCUUUUCUUUCUUCAUCCCAUCUUCCUCAUCCACACUUUCCCACAUCUUCUCUUGAGGGCCUUCCCUCUAGUGGUGGAUUGAAGAGGAAAGCAGUUGGGGACUUCUAGGUGGAUGCUGAGUUUGUAGUAGGCAAAGCUCAUGAGGUCGUCUCUAUUGACGAGCUAAAACCCCUAACAUCCGAACCCUCUAACGAGCUAAUGUCUUCCCACAUACACAAGUUAUGUAAGUGCCUAGGAGUCUUUGUACCUUUCUGGAAAGUACUUGGAUUAUGAAGAGAAGUAUGUCUUGGCUCAUCAAAGGUGGAGUUCGUCUCUUUUGAAAAUAUUUCUUUGACGGACCAAGUGACAAAGCUUAUUGUUGACUUGGCCAAGGCCCAAGAUCAUCUAUCUGUGCUGGAAAAUGACUUAAAGGUAAAGAAGGCCUUUUGUGCUCUCAAGGAUAAGCAACUAGAGGCCACUUUGGGCAAAAUAAAGGAAGCUAGGGUCCAGACUAUAGCAUAUUUCGAGAAAUUAGACGAGUAUGAUGACAAGCUAUGUGCUCUCUACAUGGAAGGUUUUGAUCUUGUCUGUACUCAUGUGAGGAAGCAUCAUCCUGAGGUUGAUUUGUCCACCUUGGACAUUGAAAAGGUGGAAAGAGAAGUUGUUACUGAACGGGCUGCAGCGGCAAAUGCAAAUGAUGUGAUUGAUGGAGAGAUUGAUGACCCUAUUGACCAUGCUCAAUCGUGACACCUUAUAUGAUAUGUGAGUGAGCCCUUAUGUUUUAGGGCUAUGUUAUAAACACUAGGUUUAACUCGUAUGUUUUGGGCAAAGAACAAUGCUUUAUUACUGCUCCUUUUUUUUUUACAUUGUGAGUGAACAAUGCUUUUAUUUGCAUCAUGUAUGAACCAUGCUUUCUUUAUGUCCUAUGUGCUAUUAUCAUAUAUUUGAUGA